Molecule: long non-coding RNA, 2042 nt
Organism: Oncorhynchus tshawytscha (Chinook salmon)
Lineage: Eukaryota; Metazoa; Chordata; Actinopteri; Salmoniformes; Salmonidae
Exons: 2
Source: RefSeq, a predicted model, not a curated record
GUGUGACUGUUUUGAGUUCUCGUUCAGCUGCUAAGAGUCCUGCCCUGUAACCAUGAGUUCCACACCAAGUGUGUUGACAAGUGGCUCAAGGCUAACAGAACGUGUCCCAUCUGUCGGGCGGACGCCUCCGAGGUCCAUCGGGAUUCUGAAUGACCUAUGACCUCGAGCCCCACAGAUCUAGGAUCCGCUCAGCCUCCCCACAUCCUAACCUGACGCAUUAGGGAGUGGAGGGAAACACAACAGGCCUUAGAUCAGUGUCUUGGAGCAAUGCCCCCCCUCCCCUCCCCUCCGCCAAGUGAACUCUUUAAGAAAUAGACUGUCUUCUUUCUAUGAUGGUAUUCUAAUAAUGGCCUUUUGACUGACACACACACACACACACACACACGUACGAGGGGCAGUUGGACUUUUCCCCCUUUUUGUACUGUCUUACCUUCCUGAGUCAUGAUUGGAGUUGUCAUAUGAACGCUGUGGAGAAACUCAGACGUGUGUCGUUCUCCUGACUAACCCAGUGGAGGAAAUGGAAGCCCAAAGAUUCUGACCAUUAUGACAUCCAUCAUCAUCAUCAUCAUCGUUGUUGUUGUUGUUGUUCAUAUGAAUAUUCUGGUCGUGAUGAAUCAUUCAGAACCUGGAUUGAGAUGUGUCUUCACUAGUGGGGUUAUUUUGGUUUAUAAAGGUGCAUUUUCUUAAUUUUUACAUUUUUUUUUUAAAGUGUGUGUGCUGUUGCACUCCUACAAAACACAUCUACAAUGUGUGUCCAACUGAAAUGGAGAGGGAACGGAGGACAAUACAAUCUUUACAUUGUUGUUAGUGUUGGUUUAUGAUCUGGGUAGAGGAAGGUGGGCAGAAAUAUAGCGUUGUCAGUACUGGGGAAAGUGUGUUUGUAUUUAGAACACCAAUGUGUAUUAUUUAUGCAGUGCAGUACGCUGCCCUUUCUGCUCUGAUUGGUCGAUGCUGUGCACUGAGACAGGAAGGGGAGGGGCUUCUAGGGAGGAGAAGGGCAACAGAACCAGGGUAGUUGAGGAAGGGGAGGUUCUUCUCUCUCAUCACUCCUCUCUCUAUCACCUUUCUCUCUUCUUUUUCCCACUCCAUCCCCUCCUCUCUCUCUACUUUUCUGUUCACUCACUCCAUGUUUCAGAGAGAUGGAUCAGUCUCCGUUAUCUCAGCUUUCUCUCUCUCACACACACACACACACACACACACACACUGAAUGCAAACCCCCCACGCAGCACAGAAGUGUGUGUGCGCUGAUAUGAAUCGAUGCUAAACGUCCGACAUUUGUUUUAUUGGUCAGUUACUUAGGAAGAAAUAUAUGAAAGUGGUCAAAUCUCAAAUGAAACCAUCUCUUAUCUAUCUAUUGGUUCCAAGACCAAAAGUAAUGAACUCUGUAAGAAAUACUCUGGAGAAUAAAAGGGGGUCGUUUUGAGAUACAACCAACGUUGUUCACUGGUCGUUCAGAUCACAUUAAGAAGGUGAGAUUAUCUGAAGUUUAGUUUUAAGGCACAUAAUAAUAAUAAUGAUGAUGAUGAUGAUUGUAGUGUGGUAGUAUCACAGUUGGGGUUUAACUCCUUGGUAAAAAAAGGGACGUGUUUUGCCUGUCGACCCACGAGUGAGAAGAUCAGUGCUUGGUUUCACUCAUUCCUUCACAACCACAAUGACUUCUGUUCAGUCUCCAUUUAUCCCAUCUUCCUCCUGUAGGAUGCUUCUCACCCCCCUCCCCCUUUCUCUCGGUCCCUUCAUCCCCCCUCCCCGUUUUCCACUGUGUCCUCUGUCUACCCAGUGUCUUUAGAAGUAGUCCUUAUUAACUGCUGUCAUAAGCCCUACAUAAGGCUGUCUUAACAUGCACAAUGUCACCCUAUGUCAAUUUCAUGUCCUGGCUUCCUACUGUCCUUCACCCACACAGUGUCAUGAUUCACGUUCUAUGUCAGGCUCACAGCAACCUUAAGUAGGGCCUUACGACAGUCUUAAGUAGGGCCUUACGACAGUCUUAUGUAGGCCUUACGACAGUCUUAAGUAGGGCCUUACGACAGUCUUAAGUAGGGCAG